Sycon ciliatum is the source of this 1309-nucleotide long non-coding RNA. RefSeq lists it as uncharacterized. The transcript is spliced from 2 exons. NCBI's taxonomy places the organism in Eukaryota, Metazoa, Porifera, Calcarea, Leucosolenida, Sycettidae. The record is from RefSeq and is a predicted model, not a curated record.
UCAUGUGCAGUCGUGUAGCGCUGACUCUGCAUCUGCAGUGCAAGUGCAGCUGCAAAUGUGAGCAUGAGCAAGGGAAAACUCCAAACAACAAAACUUUUGAAAAGCCCGAAGCUAAAAAGAAAUAGUUGCACUUCAACUAUUACUACUUCAAGCGCUUCGAGAACUAGCUAGCAGCAGAGAUUGAGAGUUACUUUAGGCGAGGCGCAGUGGUGCUCUUGUCUUGACUAAGCUGUGGGACAAGCAGCAGUAGCAGCUAUCAGCCUUUCUGCAGCAGCUAUGGCGGCCUCAGCUCUCAGGAGGUGUGCAAGGCCUGGCUUGAAUUCUGCAAUUUGUCUACAUCGAUCAAACUUUCCAGCAACGCCAGGCGCAGUUUCAGCAGGCCCUGUUGCCCUUCAGAGCAGCCGAGGAAUAGCAGACAUCAUCUUCCGCCAUAAGCGAGUGGGAAAGUUCGAGGUGCCUGUGGAGGACGCCGACGGCAGGCCAAUUCCUCGCGCGCCCAACGGCCACGUCACGCCGUUCGAGCUCUACACGCAAGGAGCAUUGACCGACGAGACGUCCGACGCGUACCGUUGGGGCGCAGCCAGCAAUCAAACAUGGAUGGUGAGGUUCGCUCUGAACUUUUGCCUGGGUAUAUGGGUCGCCUACUACCUCAUCCAGAACGGGGUGCACAUUUUGACUUUAGACCGUCUGGAACGGCGACGGAUCGUGGACGACUUGAUCGAGAAAGAAAAGGCCGCGGAGGCUGCUGCUGCUGGUGGUGACGGUGCUGGGCUGGCGACGAGCUCGCAGUGAACGAAUGAGGUGACCUGAUGACUGGCGGCUCCGGUGUUACUAGCGGCCUGUAUUGGCAGAUGGGCCGUAGUCAAAUAAUCAAGUAGCCACCGCCGUCACAGCACCGACAACCCCAGCGCUGACACUGGCAGUCUUCCCCCUGGAGUUCAUAUUCAUAGUAUGUACAGCAGCCAUGCGAGCUUGCAUGCCCCUCAUAUGUGCAGCGCAUGCGACUGACGACCAACUUACAACUCCGCCGUGUGCAGUAGAGUGCCAGUUGUAGUGCCUCCUCCGCUCGUGUUCAGUUUGAACAACUUGAAAGAUCUUCUUUUUUUCGUCCCGUGUCCGCGUCUGUCGUGUUUGUGAUCAGAUUCCAGAUUCUGCUGUAAACUAUUUCGAAUGACGUUCAAUUUCAUGCUUUGUAGAAUUUAAAACUCCUUGUCGGUGAUUUGUUUGUAAAAUCUAACUGUUGCUCUGGAUAUGGAAGUUGUUAAGCCGUUUCAUGAAGGAUGAAGAUAGGGUAUUUAGAAUUGAAUAA